This 843-nucleotide ribosomal RNA is filed under the name Minona concharum. Its description in RNAcentral is "eukaryotic LSU rRNA". It matches the Rfam family "Eukaryotic large subunit ribosomal RNA", at positions 670 to 1462 of the family's 3401-position model. Lineage: Eukaryota; Metazoa; Platyhelminthes; Proseriata; Monocelididae. The record is from RNAcentral.
GGAGUCUAGCAUGUACGCGAGUCAUUGGGCGUUACGAAACCCAAAGGCGAAGUGAAAGCAAAGAUUUGAUUCAAUCAAAUUUAGAUGCGAUCCCGGUUAGUCUAUCAUGACGCUGGGCGCAGCAUCGGCCCGUCUCAUUGUGUAUUAACACAGGGGCGGAGCAAGAGCGUACAUGCUGAAACCCGAAAGAUGGUGAACUAUGCUUGCGCAGGUUGAAGCCAGAGGAAACUCUGGUGGAGGACCGUAGCGAUUCUGACGUGCAAAUCGAUCGUCAGACGUGAGUAUAGGGGCGAAAGACUAAUCGAACCAUCUAGUAGCUGGUUCCCUCCGAAGUUUCCCUCAGGAUAGCUGGCAUGCAUGAAUAAAAAAGUUUUAUCCGGUAAAGCGAAUGAUUAGAGGAAUUGGGGCCGAAAUGUCCUCAACCUAUUCUCAAACUUUAAAUGGGUGAGAAGCUGAACUCUCUUAAUUGGAGUUUGGCAUUGAAUUUGCAGGCCAAGUGGGCCAUUUUUGGUAAGCAGAACUGGCGCUGUGGGAUGAACCAAACGUCUAGUUAAGGCGCCUAACACGUCGCUCAUAAGAUACCACACAAGGUGUUGGUUGAUAUAGACAGCAGGACGGUGGCCAUGGAAGUUGGAAUCCGCUAAGGAGUGUGUAACAACUCACCUGCCGAAUCAACCAGCCCUGAAAAUGGAUGGCGCUGAGCGAUGGGCCUAUACUAGACCAACACUGUAAUGGCGGUUACUAUGUAAACAGUGUUGAGUAGGAGGGUCUCCGUGGUGAGCAUUGAAGCUUAGUCUGUGAAGACUGGUGGAGCCCCCACGGGUGCAGAUCUUGGUGGUAGUA